RNAcentral lists this ribosomal RNA (968 nucleotides) under Saccharina japonica. Its description in RNAcentral is "eukaryotic LSU rRNA". The stretch from base 1 to 210 matches the Rfam family "Eukaryotic small subunit ribosomal RNA", at positions 1622 to 1831 of the family's 1831-position model. The record is from RNAcentral. Lineage: Eukaryota; Phaeophyceae; Laminariales; Laminariaceae.
CGCGAGUCAUCAGCUCGCAUUGAUUACGUCCCUGCCCUUUGUACACACCGCCCGUCGCACCUACCGAUUGAAUGUUUCGGUGAAGAUUCCGGACUGUGGCUCGCGUGCUUCACGGCGCUCUUGCCGUGGGAAGUUAUCUAAACCUCAACAUUUAGAGGAAGGUGAAGUCGUAACAAGGUUUCCGUAGGUGAACCUGCGGAAGGAUCAUUACCGAAAGCGGGUUCGUUCAAUCCCCCCCGCUCUAUAAAUUGUCUGUGAGGCCGCUUCGUGCGGCCUCUUUACCCCGAGAAAGAAUUCGUUAUGCGAAGUUGGGCGAGGGGCGCCUCGCCGAGAGCCUGUGAAAAGGCCCUCGAAUCAAAGCGCACCCCACAUUUCAACCCAUUAAACUCUGAAUCUGAACUCAAAGGGGCGCUGCGCUAGCCGCGGCUCCCCCAACCUUUAACGUUGUAAAACUUUCAGCGACGGAUGUCUUGGCUCCCACAACGAUGAAGAACGCAGCGAAAUGCGAUACGUCUUGCGACUUGCAGAAUCCAGUGAAUCAUCAAAACUUUGAACGCAUCUUGCGCUUCCGGGAUACUCCUGGGAGCAUGCUUGUCGGAGUGUCUGUUGACACCACUCGCCCCUCUUCUCUCCUGUCUCACGACGGGGGAGUCGCGGCGGCGGACUUUGAGUGUUCCGGAGUUCCCAUGCUCCGAGUGCACCUAAUCUCGUGAACGAAGCCUCUCGCGCCCUGCCGCACAGAGUUGUUGACGGCGCUCGCUUCGGCGGCGACUCUCGACUCACCAAACGUGCGCAGGAUGCCUGCCUCAUUCCGGCGCUCCGACGCCGACCCUUCUGGGUCAGCGUUGGAAACCGUACCACUUUCGUUCGGACCUCCGAUCAAGCAAGAGGACCCGCAGAAUUUAAGCAUAUAACUAAGCGGAGGAAAAGAAACUAACCAGGAUUCCCCCAGUACGGCGAGUGAAGCU